GGCCUUGUGGUCUAGUGGUAUGAUUCUCGCUUAGGGUGCGAGAGGUCCCAGAUUCGAUCUCCGGCAAGGCCC
This 72-nucleotide transfer RNA is filed under the name Phytophthora infestans (potato late blight agent). It matches the Rfam family "tRNA". Rfam says of the family: Transfer RNA (tRNA) molecules are approximately 80 nucleotides in length. Their secondary structure includes four short double-helical elements and three loops (D, anti-codon, and T loops). Further hydrogen bonds mediate the characteristic L-shaped molecular structure. tRNAs have two regions of fundamental functional importance: the anti-codon, which is responsible for specific mRNA codon recognition, and the 3' end, to which the tRNAs corresponding amino acid is attached (by aminoacyl-tRNA synthetases). tRNAs cope with the degeneracy of the genetic code in two manners: having more than one tRNA (with a specific anti-codon) for a particular amino acid; and 'wobble' base-pairing, i.e. permitting non-standard base-pairing at the 3rd anti-codon position. The record is from Rfam by way of RNAcentral. RNAcentral also lists the same sequence under 1 other name. Lineage: Eukaryota; Oomycota; Peronosporomycetes; Peronosporales; Peronosporaceae.